RNAcentral lists this ribosomal RNA (253 nucleotides) under uncultured bacterium. RNAcentral's name for it is "partial 16S ribosomal RNA". It matches the Rfam family "Bacterial small subunit ribosomal RNA", at positions 524 to 776 of the family's 1533-position model. The record is from RNAcentral.
UACGGAGGAUUCAAGCGUUAUCCGGAUUUAUUGGGUUUAAAGGGUGCGCAGGCGGUUGUUUAAGUUAGUCGUUAAAUCGCGAGGCUCAACCUCGCAAUGGCGAUUGAUACUGGACAACUAGAGAUUAUGUGCAGCGGGCGGAAUGAGUAGUGUAGCGGUGAAAUGCUUAGAUAUUACUCAGAACACCAAUUGCGAAGGCAGCUCGCUAACAUAUAUCUGACGCUCAGGCACGAAAGCGUGGGGAUCAAACAGG